GAUGAACGCUGGCGGCGUGCUUAACACAUGCAAGUCGAACGGUGAAGGCGGAGCUUGCUCUGCUGGAUCAGUGGCGAACGGGUGAGUAACACGUGAGCAAUCUGCCCCUGACUCUGGGAUAAGCGCUGGAAACGGCGUCUAAUACUGGAUACGAGCUGCGAAGGCAUCUUCAGCAGCUGGAAAGAAUUUCGGUCAGGGAUGAGCUCGCGGCCUAUCAGCUUGUUGGUGAGGUAAUGGCUCACCAAGGCGUCGACGGGUAGCCGGCCUGAGAGGGUGACCGGCCACACUGGGACUGAGAGACGGACCAGACUCCUACGGGAGGCAGCAGUGGGGAAUAUGACACAGUGGGCGAAAGCCUGAUGCAGCGACGCCGCGUGAGGGACGACGGCCUUCGGGUUGUAAACCUCUUUUAGCAGGGAAGAAGCGAAAGUGACGGUACCUGCAGAAAAAGCGCCGGCUAACUACGUG
This 468-nucleotide ribosomal RNA is filed under the name uncultured bacterium. RNAcentral describes it as "partial 16S ribosomal RNA". It matches the Rfam family "Bacterial small subunit ribosomal RNA", at positions 28 to 507 of the family's 1533-position model. The record is from RNAcentral.